UAUUGAAGCUUUCCUCGGGCAACUUUUAUGGCCUGAAUUGUUAAAUAAAGGCCAGCUACUAUUGUUAGAAGAAAGACAAUGGUUAGAGAGGCUGCAAGUUAUAUAGAGGUUAGUCGGCCAUUAGGUCUGUCAUUUCUUUUAUAGCACAUUUUCCAAAGAUAGAUUAGGCUGUCAAUACAAGUACAUUGCAUGUGCAUAUAGGUACCGUUAAAUUUGCCAACCACGUCAUGGAUUCUUCCUGUAGCCCAGUGGUUACAUUUCCGAGCUUCGGUUCGGAAGGGCAUGGUGCUCAGCCCCCGCAGAGGGACUUUGUUCGUUUUAUUCAUAUUUGUCCCUAUAAUCUUUUUUAGUUUGUUUUGGUUUGAACAAGUUUUUGACGAAAAGACGUUUUAAGGAAGGACAAGAAACCUGACUCGCCCUAAAAUAUAUUGAACUUAUUAUAUCUUCUUUUUUUAAACUCUUUUUAUUAGCUUGUAUCCAGUAAGCGAAGAACUGCAAAAGAAGGAAUCUUACCGGAAGUUGUUUUUCCCUUGCGAAAGAUUUAAUAAGGGUUUUAUAAAAGACUCGAGAACUUAGCCAAGUUAUUGCUGAAAAGACCUCUUAAGGAAGGACAAGAAACCUGACUCACCGUGGAAUAUAUCCAACUUAUUAUGUCUUUUUGAUUUAAGCUCUCUUUAUUAGCUUGUAUCCAAUAAGCGAAGAACUGCAAAAGAGCGAAUCUUGAAGGAAAUGUUAAUUUUUUUUUUGCUUGCAAAAGAUUCAAUAAGGGAUUCAAAAAAAAGACUCUAUAACUUAGGCAGGGUCUUUCAUUUUCUUUAUAUCAUAUUUUAAAAAGCAAGAUGAGGCUGUCAAUAAAAACUAUAUUUCUUGUGCAUAUAGGUACCGUUACAUUUGGUAACCAAUUCAAGGAGUCCCACUGUAACCCAGUGGCUACAUUUCCGAACUUUCGGUUCGGAAAGGCAUGGCGUUCAGCCCCCGCAGGGGAACUCUUUUUGUUAUAUCUAUGUUGGAGUCCACUUAGAUUUUUUCGCACAAUCGUCUUUUUUUCUCCUUUAAUCCAAGUUAAGUCAUUGUAAAAAGACCUUUUGAGAAAGGACAUCAAACCUGACUGACCGUAAUAUGUAUAUCCAACUUAUUAUGUCUUUUUUCAUUUCGGCUCUCUUUAUUAGCGUGUAUCCAAUAAAGAAAUAUUUGUUACAAGUG
Orbicella faveolata is the source of this 1203-nucleotide long non-coding RNA. The record is from RefSeq and is a predicted model, not a curated record. Lineage: Eukaryota; Metazoa; Cnidaria; Anthozoa; Scleractinia; Merulinidae.